GUGCUGGCCGGGAUGAAUGUCUACUCCUCUGAAUUUGAAAACAUCAAGGAGGAGUACAGCGUGCGCGGCUUCCCCACCAUCUGCUAUUUUGAGAAAGGACGGUUCUUGUUCCAGUAUGACAACUAUGGGUCCACAUCUGAGGACAUUGUGGAGUGGCUGAAGAAGGUGUGGCCACUGUAAGAAAAUGAAGCCGGAGUUUGAGAAGGCAGCAGAAGCCCUCCAUGGAGAAGCGGAUAGCUCUGGUGUCCUUGCAGCUGUCGAUGCCACUGUCAACAAGGCCCUGGCAGAAAGAUUCCACAUCUCAGAGUUUCCUACGUUGAAGUAUUUUAAGAAUGGAGAGAAAUACGCAGUGCCCGUGCUCAGGACAAAGAAGAAGUUUCUCGAGUGGAUGCAAA
This 395-nucleotide small RNA is filed under the name Pan troglodytes (chimpanzee). RNAcentral's name for it is "processed transcript". Lineage: Eukaryota; Metazoa; Chordata; Mammalia; Primates; Hominidae. The record is from RNAcentral.